UUUCAGAUCAAUGGGGAGUUUUCUUGGGAUUGUCGCGGGCCAAAAUCCUUGAUUAUGCGGCACGUUUUCUUAAAAGAUGCGAUGGAAUAUGCGGGAUAUUUAUGCAAUUUUAUGCAAUGAAAUUGUGGGAACUUGCAAAAAUUGGGGUUUGAUGAAAAAGUAACUGUGUUUGUCUUGUUGUGUAAUUACGUCACUUCAUAAUGUUCCCAUGGCAACAGGGGAAAAAGGGCCCGCUCUUGUGUGAAGUGAACGCAACAUUUUUCAACUUUCUGCUGAGAUAUUUGUGACUUCUUUUGCAACAAAGGAGGCGACGGAUUAUGAAAUCAUGCAAGCCCCGCAUUAGUUUGCGUGGAAAUUGGCAAUUUAUGCGGCAAAAAUGCGGCCCCCGCAUAAAUAUGCGGAUUUUGGCUGAUUAGGCUAUGCAUUGAAUUAUGCGAUCGCAUCAUCACGUUUUUCUGGAGGGAUUAAGUGGGGUUUUGUAUC
This is a long non-coding RNA of Etheostoma spectabile (orangethroat darter), 483 nucleotides long. RefSeq lists it as uncharacterized. The record is from RefSeq and is a predicted model, not a curated record. The transcript has 5 exons. NCBI's taxonomy places the organism in Eukaryota, Metazoa, Chordata, Actinopteri, Perciformes, Percidae.